AUGAACGCUGGCGGCGUGCCCAAUACAUGCAAGUCGAGCGAACAGAUAAGGAGCUUGCUCCUUUGACGUUAGCGGCGGACGGGUGAGUAACACGUGGGUAACCUACCUAUAAGACUGGGAUAACUUCGGGAAACCGGAGCCAAUACCGGAUAAUAUUUCGAACCGCAUGGUUCGAUAGUGGAAGAUGGUUUUGCUAUCACUUAUAGAUGGACCCGCGCCGUAUUAGCUAGUUGGUAAGGUAACGGCUUACCAAGGCGACGAUACGUAGCCGACCUGAGAGGGUGAUCGGCCACACUGGAACUGAGACACGGUCCAGACUCCUACGGGAGGCAGCAGUAGGGAAUCUUCCGCAAUGGGCGAAAGCCUGACGGAGCAACGCCGCGUGAGUGAUGAAGGUCUUCGGAUCGUAAAACUCUGUUAUUAGGGAAGAACAUACGUGUAAGUAACUGUGCACGUCUUGACGGUACCUAAUCAGAAAGCCACGGCUAACUACGUG
RNAcentral lists this ribosomal RNA (496 nucleotides) under uncultured bacterium. RNAcentral's name for it is "partial 16S ribosomal RNA". It matches the Rfam family "Bacterial small subunit ribosomal RNA", at positions 29 to 507 of the family's 1533-position model. The record is from RNAcentral.